This 639-nucleotide ribosomal RNA is filed under the name uncultured Actinomycetes bacterium. RNAcentral describes it as "bacterial SSU rRNA". It matches the Rfam family "Bacterial small subunit ribosomal RNA", at positions 232 to 885 of the family's 1533-position model. Lineage: Bacteria; Bacillati; Actinomycetota; Actinomycetes. The record is from RNAcentral.
CGCGGCCUAUCAGCUUGUUGGUGGAGUAACAGCCCACCAAGGCAACGACGGGUAGCUGGUCUGAGAGGACGAUCAGCCACACUGGGACUGAGACACGGCCCAGACUCCUACGGGAGGCUGCAGUGGGGAAUAUUGCGCAAUGGGCGAAAGCCUGACGCAGCAACGCCGCGUGGGGGAUGAGGGCUUUCGGGUUGUAAACCCCUUUCGGCAGGGACGAAACUGACGGUACCUGCAGAAGAAGCCCCGGCCAACUACGUGCCAGCAGCCGCGGUAACACGUAGGGGGCAAGCGUUGUCCGGAUUUAUUGGGCGUAAAGGGCUCGUAGGCGGUUGCGUAAGUCGGAUGUGAAAACUCAGGGCUCAACCCGGAGAUGCCAUCCGAUACUGCGCUGACUAGAGUCCGGUAGAGGAGCAUGGAAUUCUUGGUGUAGCGGUGAAAUGUGCAGAUAUCAGGAGGAACACCAGUAGCGAAGGCGGUGCUCUGGGCCGGUACUGACGCUGAGGAGCGAAAGCGUGGGUAGCAAACAGGAUUAGAUACCCUGGUAGUCCACGCCGUAAACGGUGGGCACUAGGUGUGGGACCUACACAACGGGUUCUGUACCGUAGCUAACGCAUUAAGUGCCCCGCCUGGGGAGUACGG